AACGACUCUCGGCAACGGAUAUCCCGGCUCUCGCAUCGAUGAAGAACGUAGCGAAAUGCGAUACUUGGUGUGAAUUGCAGAAUCCCGUGAACCAUCGAGUUUUUGAACGCAAGUUGCGCCCGAUGCCAUUAGGUUGAGGGCACGUCUGCCUGGGUGUCACGU
Molecule: ribosomal RNA, 162 nt
Filed under: Bupleurum marginatum var. stenophyllum
Lineage: Eukaryota; Viridiplantae; Streptophyta; Magnoliopsida; Apiales; Apiaceae
Description: 5.8S ribosomal RNA
Rfam family: 5.8S ribosomal RNA
About the family: 5.8S ribosomal RNA (5.8S rRNA) is a component of the large subunit of the eukaryotic ribosome. It is transcribed by RNA polymerase I as part of the 45S precursor that also contains 18S and 28S rRNA.
Source: RNAcentral